GGUUGAUCCUGCCAGUAGUCAUAUGCUUGAUUCAAAGAUUAAGCCAUGCACGUGUCAGUACAGUCCUAAGCAUGGAAAAACUGCGGAUGGCUCAUUAGAUCAGUUAUGGUUCCUUAGAACGUAUUCCCAAAGUGGAUAACCCUGGCAAUUCUAGAGCUAAUACAUGCACCGAAGCUCCGACCGGAAGGGACGAGCGCAAUUAUUAGACCGGACCCGCCCGCCCCUUCGGGGUGCGGGUAGCGAAGGUGACUCUGGAUAAUCAUGCCGAUCGCACGGCCGAGAGCCGGCGACAAUUCUUUCGAAUGUCUGCCCUAUCAUAGUCGAUGGCAGUUGAGAAGGACUACCAUGCUGACAACGGGUAACGGGGAAUCAGGGUUUGAUUCCGGAGAGGGAGCCUGAGAAACGGCCACCACAUCCAAGGAAGGCAGCAGGCACGCAAAUUACCCACUCCCGACACGGGGAGGUAGUGACGAACAAUAACAAUACGGGUGUCUUUCGAGGCCCCGUAAUUGGAAUGAGUGCAAUCUAAAUCCUUCAACAAGGAUCUAUUGGAGGGCAAGUCUGGU
RNAcentral lists this ribosomal RNA (566 nucleotides) under uncultured eukaryote. RNAcentral's name for it is "bacterial SSU rRNA". It matches the Rfam family "Eukaryotic small subunit ribosomal RNA", at positions 6 to 565 of the family's 1831-position model. The record is from RNAcentral.